RNAcentral lists this unclassified non-coding RNA (379 nucleotides) under soil metagenome. RNAcentral's name for it is "partial contains 5.8S ribosomal RNA, internal transcribed spacer 2, and large subunit ribosomal RNA". The stretch from base 1 to 120 matches the Rfam family "5.8S ribosomal RNA", at positions 35 to 154 of the family's 154-position model. The record is from RNAcentral.
GAUGAAGAACGUAGCGAAAUGCGAUAAGUAAUGUGAAUUGCAGAAUUCGGUGAAUCAUCGAAUCUUUGAACGCACCUUGCACCCUUUGGCAUUCCGAAGGGUAUGCUCGUUUGAGUGUCAUUGUACUCUCACACUUCCAAUCUUUGGAUUGGGGGCGGUGGACUUGGGUGUUGCUGCUUACUGUGGCUCACCUCAAAUUGAUUCGUGCACCUCUUGGUUGGACAUAGUACGGCGUGAUAAGUGUCUUCGCCGGCACCUCAGUAGAGGGUGGCUGAUCGGGAGCUCUGUGCUUCAAACCGUCCUCGGACAACAACUGACAACUUGACCUCAAAUCGAGUAGGACUACCCACUGAACUUAAGCAUAUCAAUAAGCGGAGGA